UGGUUCUGGCAUCGAUGAAGAACGCAGCGAAAUGCGAUAAGUAAUGCGAAUUGCAGAAUUCCGUGAGUCAUCGAAUCUUUGAACGCACAUUGCGCCCUUUGGUAUUCCGAAGGGCAUGCCUGUUCGAGCGUCAUUAUCAACCCUCAAGUUCAACUUGUUGUUGAGAUUUGGUGAUAUUUCAUCGUCUCAAAAGAUAAUGACGGCGUUUUUGAAACCCUCGAUACAACGAGCUUUUACUAGCACGUAUCGUAGUAUGGAUUCAUAAAUCCGGUCUACUAUUUAAUUUUUACAAGGUUGACCUCGGAUCAGGUAGGGAUACCCGCUGA
This 326-nucleotide unclassified non-coding RNA is filed under the name uncultured fungus. Its description in RNAcentral is "partial contains 5.8S ribosomal RNA and internal transcribed spacer 2". The stretch from base 1 to 133 matches the Rfam family "5.8S ribosomal RNA", at positions 22 to 154 of the family's 154-position model. Lineage: Eukaryota; Fungi. The record is from RNAcentral.